AUGCUUAACACAUGCAAGUCGAACGGCAGCGCGGGGAGCUUGCUCCCUGGCGGCGAGUGGCGGACGGGUGAGUAACACGUAGGAAUCUACCUUAUAGUGGGGGAUAACCCGGGGAAACUCGGGCUAAUACCGCAUAAUCUCUUCGGAGCAAAGCGGGGGAUCUUCGGACCUCGUGCUAUAAGAUGAGCCUGCGUCGGAUUAGCUAGUUGGUAGGGCAAUGGCCUACCAAGGCGACGAUCCGUAGCUGGUCUGAGAGGACGAUCAGCCACACUGGGACUGAGACACGGCCCAGACUCCUACGGGAGGCAGCAGUGGGGAAUAUUGGACAAUGGGGGAAACCCUGAUCCAGCAAU
RNAcentral lists this ribosomal RNA (353 nucleotides) under Coxiella endosymbiont of Rhipicephalus pulchellus. RNAcentral's name for it is "bacterial SSU rRNA". It matches the Rfam family "Bacterial small subunit ribosomal RNA", at positions 44 to 395 of the family's 1533-position model. The record is from RNAcentral. Lineage: Bacteria; Pseudomonadati; Pseudomonadota; Gammaproteobacteria; Legionellales; Coxiellaceae.